RNAcentral lists this ribosomal RNA (3024 nucleotides) under Halomonas sp. ML-15. RNAcentral's name for it is "23S ribosomal RNA". It matches the Rfam family "Bacterial large subunit ribosomal RNA". The record is from RNAcentral. Lineage: Bacteria; Pseudomonadati; Pseudomonadota; Gammaproteobacteria; Oceanospirillales; Halomonadaceae.
GGUCAAGCGAUUAAGCGCACACGGUGGAUGCCUAGGCAGCCAGAGGCGAUGAAAGACGUGGAAGCCUGCGAUAAGGCUCGGCGAGGUGGCAAACAACCUGUGACCCGGGCAUUUCUGAAUGGGGAAACCCACCCAGCAUAAGCUGGGUAUCCCACACUGAAUCCAUAGGUGUUGGGAGGCGAACCAGGGGAACUGAAACAUCUAAGUACCCUGAGGAAAAGAAAUCAACCGAGAUUCCCCUAGUAGCGGCGAGCGAACGGGGACCAGCCCUUAAGCGUGUGACUGAUUAGGCGAAGGCAUUGGGAAAUGCCGCCAUAGUGGGUGAUAGCCCCGUAGCCGAAAAUCUGAUCGCGUGAAAUCGAGUAGGUCGGGGCACGUGAAACCUUGACUGAAGACGGGGGGACCAUCCUCCAAGGCUAAAUACUCCUGGCUGACCGAUAGUGAACCAGUACCGUGAGGGAAAGGCGAAAAGAACCCCGGAGAGGGGAGUGAAAUAGAUCCUGAAACCGUGUGCGUACAAGCAGUGGGAGCAGACUUGUUCUGUGACCGCGUACCUUUUGUAUAAUGGGUCAGCGACUUAUAUUCAGUGGCGAGCUUAACCGAUUAGGGGAGGCGUAGGGAAACCGAGUCUUAACUGGGCGACCAGUCGCUGGAUAUAGACCCGAAACCGGGCGAUCUAUCCAUGAGCAGGUUGAAGGUUGAGUAACAUCAACUGGAGGACCGAACCAGGAUCUGUUGAAAAAGAUUUGGAUGACUUGUGGAUCGGAGUGAAAGGCUAAUCAAGCCCGGAGAUAGCUGGUUCUCCUCGAAAGCUAUUUAGGUAGCGCCUCACGUAUCACCGCCGGGGGUAGAGCACUGUUUCGGCUAGGGGGUCAUCCCGACUUACCAACCCGAGGCAAACUCCGAAUACCGGUGAGUGCGAGCGUGGGAGACACACAGCGGGUGCUAACGUCCGUUGUGAAAAGGGAAACAACCCAGACCGUCAGCUAAGGUCCCGAAAUCCUGGUUAAGUGGGAAACGAUGUGGGAAGGCUCAGACAGCUAGGAGGUUGGCUUAGAAGCAGCCAUCCUUUAAAGAAAGCGUAAUAGCUCACUAGUCGAGUCGGCCUGCGCGGAAGAUGUAACGGGGCUAAACCAGGUACCGAAGCUACGGGUGCGUUCACGUUUCGACGUGGAUGCGCGGUAGAGGAGCGUCGUGUAAGCCGAUGAAGGUGGAUUGAGAAGUCUGCUGGAGGUAUCACGAGUGCGAAUGCUGACAUGAGUAACGACAAGGGGAGUGAAAAACUCCCCCGCCGGAAGACCAAGGGUUUCUGUUCUAUGCUAAUCAGAGCAGAGUGAGUCGGCCCCUAAGGCGAGGCCGAAAGGCGUAGUCGAUGGGAAACGGGUCAAUAUUCCCGUACCUCACAUGGUUGCGAUGGGGGGACGAAGAAGGCUAAGUGAGCCAGGCGUUGGUUGUCCUGGUGAAAGUCGGUAGGCUGAGGGUUCAGGCAAAUCCGGACGCUCAAGGCCGAGAGACGAGACGAACAGACUACGGUCUGGAAGUCACUGAUGCCACGCUUCCAGGAAAAGCCUCUAAGCUUCAGAUCAUGUGGGACCGUACCCCAAACCGACACNNNNNNNNNNCCUUAAGGCCGAGAGACGAGACGAACAGACUACGGUCUGGAAGUCACUGAUGCCACGCUUCCAGGAAAAGCCUCUAAGCUUCAGAUCAUGUGGGACCGUACCCCAAACCGACACAGGUGGUCAGGUAGAGAAUACCAAGGCGCUUGAGAGAACUCGGGUGAAGGAACUAGGCAAAAUGGUGCCGUAACUUCGGGAGAAGGCACGCCGCGUUAGUGUGAAGGGACUUGCUCCCCGAGCACGAGGCGGUCGAAGAUACCAGGUGGCUGCAACUGUUUAUUAAAAACACAGCACUCUGCAAACGCGUAAGCGGACGUAUAGGGUGUGACGCCUGCCCGGUGCCGGAAGGUUAAUUGAUGGUGUUAGGCCUCGGCCGAAGCUCCUGAUCGAAGCCCCGGUAAACGGCGGCCGUAACUAUAACGGUCCUAAGGUAGCGAAAUUCCUUGUCGGGUAAGUUCCGACCUGCACGAAUGGCGUAAUGAUGGCCACGCUGUCUCCACCCGAGACUCAGUGAAAUUGAAAUCGCAGUGAAGAUGCUGUGUACCCGCGGCUAGACGGAAAGACCCCGUGAACCUUUACUAUAGCUUCACACUGGAUGCUGAUGUUGUUUGUGUAGGAUAGCUGGGAGGCUUUGAAACCCGGACGCCAGUUCGAGUGGAGCCAACCUUGAAAUACCAGCCUGACAUCAUUGGCGUUCUAACUCAGGUCCGUUAUCCGGAUCGAGGACAGUGUGUGGUGGGUAGUUUGACUGGGGCGGUCUCCUCCUAAAGCGUAACGGAGGAGCACGAAGGUACCCUCAGCACGGUUGGAAAUCGUGCAUUGAGUGCAAGAGCAUAAGGGUGCUUAACUGCGAGACAGACACGUCGAGCAGGUACGAAAGUAGGUUCUAGUGAUCCGGUGGUUCUGUAUGGAAGGGCCAUCGCUCAACGGAUAAAAGGUACUCCGGGGAUAACAGGCUGAUACCGCCCAAGAGUUCACAUCGACGGCGGUGUUUGGCACCUCGAUGUCGGCUCAUCACAUCCUGGGGCUGAAGUCGGUCCCAAGGGUAUGGCUGUUCGCCAUUUAAAGUGGUACGCGAGCUGGGUUUAGAACGUCGUGAGACAGUUCGGUCCCUAUCUGCCGUGGGCGUCGGAAGUUUGAGAAGAGCUGCUCCUAGUACGAGAGGACCGGAGUGGACGCACCUCUGGUGUUCCGGUUGUCACGCCAGUGGCAUUGCCGGGUAGCUAUGUGCGGACAGGAUAACCGCUGAAAGCAUCUAAGCGGGAAGCCCCCUUCAAGAUGAGACUUCCCUGAGGCUUUACGCCUCCUGAAGGGCCCAGCGAGACUAGCUGGUUGAUAGGCACGGUGUGGAAGCACAGCAAUGUGUUGAGCUAACGUGUACUAAUGGCCCGUGAGGCUUGACCAU